RNAcentral lists this ribosomal RNA (253 nucleotides) under uncultured bacterium. RNAcentral's name for it is "partial 16S ribosomal RNA". It matches the Rfam family "Bacterial small subunit ribosomal RNA", at positions 524 to 776 of the family's 1533-position model. The record is from RNAcentral.
UACGUAGGGGGCAAGCGUUGUCCGGAUUUAUUGGGCGUAAAGAGCGUGUAGGCGGCCAGGUAGGUCCGCUGUGAAAACUCGAGGCUCAACCUCGAGACGUCGGCGGAAACCAUCUGGCUAGAGUCCGGAAGAGGAGAGUGGAAUUCCUGGUGUAGCGGUGAAAUGCGCAGAUAUCAGGAAGAAUAUCCGUGGCGAAGGCGGCUCUCUGGGACGGUACUGACGCUGAGACGCGAAAGCGUGGGGAGCGAACAGG